RNAcentral lists this ribosomal RNA (253 nucleotides) under uncultured prokaryote. RNAcentral describes it as "partial 16S ribosomal RNA". It matches the Rfam family "Bacterial small subunit ribosomal RNA", at positions 524 to 776 of the family's 1533-position model. The record is from RNAcentral.
UACGUAGGGCCCGAGCAUUAUCUGGAAUUAUUGGGCGUAAAGAGCGUGUAGGUGUUCCUACAAGUCGGUCGUUAAAUCUCAGAGCUCAACUCUGGGACCGCGAGCGAAACUGUAGGAAUUGAGGUUUACAGGGGCAAGCAGAAUUCCAGGAGUAGGGGUGAAAUCCGUUGAUACCUGGAGGAAUACCAAUGGCGAAGGCAGCUUGCUGGGUAAUACCUGACACUGAGACGCGAAAGCGUGGGGAGCAAACGGG